Molecule: long non-coding RNA, 3011 nt
Organism: Anguilla anguilla (European eel)
Lineage: Eukaryota; Metazoa; Chordata; Actinopteri; Anguilliformes; Anguillidae
Exons: 2
Source: RefSeq, a predicted model, not a curated record
CAUAUAUAAUAUAUAAUAAUGUGAUUUAGUCCAUGGAUUAUAAUGUAAUGUAAAGAUACCUAGCGGUGUGAAAUUAUUUUCCAUACUUUCAGAACUUAAGACCCCUGUCUGGUCAAAUUUACCUCCGUUUUGAUAAUCAAGGUUUAACUUAAUCCAUGGGUCACUGAAAGAUGAUGUCGAUUAACACUGCAAUUUGAAUGUUCAAUUACCUGUAAUAUUAUUUGCAGACGGUUAGCUAUAUCUACAACAUUAACACCAAACUAAAUCAGAUCAGACAAUAAACAAUUUGGUCAUUUUUCUACGAAGCGUCGAGACCAUCAAAAGUUAACUAAAGGCGAUUAUAUUGACAUCCUCGGGUCCAAACAAGAUAAAUCAUUAAUAGUGGUUGCAAAACAACUGGCUUGAAUAAGAACAGCCUGGUCCAUAUCGAAUGCACGCAUAAUAAGCGAUCUGCGUGGGGAAAUAAGCCACAACUCUAAGAAUAUUUAGAAAUAAGCAUAUCACUGUAAACCUUAACAUAUGCAAACACACAGCAAGCAGUUUGCGUAAGACUCGUUAGAAGGAUUGGCCAAUCCGCCUGACACAGGAAGUGCCAUUGAGGUAACAUCAGUUUAGAAACUAACAAUGCAUUACAUGCUCCCAAUGCGUACACCCAACUUUACUUUUUUCAUUACUGUCAGCUGUGUGACAAAAAGUGAGUUCAAAACUGCUAAUUUAAAUGAGAAAAGGACUUUGCAUCUUCUUGUGGAUGAACAGAAGAUCUGAGGACACCUGCUAACCAGGCUACAACGAUUAUUACUAAUUCAAAAGAGCAAAAGAGAUGGCUUCGAUGAGACAGACUGGGUACCACCAGCUGCAGCUGGCUGGAUCUGUCUUCCCAGCUUUGACACAGAAUGAAACCACCUCCUAUUGCCUGAGGUUAAACAUUGUGCCCCUGGGAGAGGUAUCUGUUCUCACAUGGUCUGUUUCCAUCGCAAUAAUAUGAUCAUGAUCAAGGCUGGACUCUGAGACUUAGAACCAAGAAUACACUAUAAUAUGGAGGGAUGGUGGUUAGCCAAUGGCUGCCCAUUGAUGCAUUGCCAGUUUGUGGGACUCCAUAGCUAUAUACUCUUACUGUAGCCAAUGGGACUAUAAGUUUAGAGCAAUUGAAGAAGUUAGGUUUUGAUAUAGUUUCGAAUACAUUUCAAGAAAAAUAAAAACAGGAGCGUGUGCUGAGCAGAAUUAAGUGCCAUUUCAAACACCUCUUGUCCAUGAUGCAAACACUUCCUGUAGGUGUCUGCUUGUACUGCAUGCCUGAUGAAUACAUUGGUCCCGGUUUUCCAGUUCAUAUGGGCCAUGGUGUGAGCGGCCACUAAAAUGACAGGUGUCUUCUUGUGAAAGUUUAAUCCUUUUAAUUCAUGUGUGGCUGUGUAUCAUGGCAGAUAGUGAGCCUGCCUUGUAAGGUUGCAGCUGCAUGAGGUGGCAGUUUUGUGUCCAGCCUAAAAGUAAACCUUUUUUGUUAUGCAAAACACCUUUUUUCUUUUGCAGCAGAAGGCAGUAAAAUGCAAAUGGGACAAUGAAAACAAAUAUGGAUAUUGCAACAAUUGUAUUUUGCUGCCAUCUACUGCAAAAUAAAACUUUUCUCCAAAGAAUCAUACGAUUUUUGUUGCUGUUACCUUGCUUGAGGUAAUCAUUUAACUGAGAAAGAUAGCAAGUAUAACAUAUAAGCAUGCAUAAUAGCAGGCAAGCAUUUAUUGAUUAUAGCUUAUGAAUGUUUGACAGGUUCAGUUUUAUAAUUGCACGCAUAAACAUGGGCAUAUAAUAAGAACGACUAGAACGAGUCCAUGCAAUAAUCAAACAGUGUACAAGAGCAAAAUAGACUGAAUGAGAUAUUAAUUUUUUUGUACAGGUAUUUGGAAUUUAAUUCAAGAAUGCAAAUUCUUAUUUAAAAAAAACAAAAUAUGUGAUCCAGUCGCCCUUGCACAUUGAUUGGUGAUUGUAUGUAAUCAUUCUAGUCAUUCUGCCAUAAGUUCUGCUUUAUGAUGAGAAAGAGAAAAUAAUGGCACAUUGUCAUGAAUGUUUCAACACAUCGGCCUUGAUCUGGGAACCAGGUACUUCAAAUGAACUAAUAUAUCAAUGACUCAGUAUUUGAAAUCUUUCUGAACCCAGUGAAUUGCAUGGCUUCAGUUAGCUUUUCUGUGAAAGAUUGGCUAUAUCAUGCACAGUAACCCUUUGUAGAUUAUUCUGUUUGCUUAUUUUCAGAAUUGUACUAAUACCCACUUUACUGGCUCGACUGUUCAAGAUUAAUCAUUACAUCAAGGGGCAGUUAGAUAUAGUAACAGUAUUAAGUCUCAGAGUUUGUGGUGCUUAUCGGAGUGAUGAAUGUUAAUUGCUGUAAACAGUUUUAUCCCAACAAAUACAAAAUGGUUCUUUUGCAGGGGAUGUCUUACUGAUAUUAUGUUUGUUUUAAAGGGAGAUAUACUCGCACUGCUUCUUAUGUAGUGGUCCAUGCCUAUACAGUGUGAGUUCUUGGUAGGCACUCAGAUACAGUUUUCAUUCUGCCAUGACUACAGUUCAGUUAUGUGUUUUGACUUCAAACUGUAAUCUCCUCAUGAACUUCAGCAGGAAAAUGGCUCUGUGGAGUCGCACUAUCAAUCUCAGCAUUUGCGUCUCUGGGCUCCAAAAUAAACAGGUACUGUUUCCUCUUGAGAAUAUACUGAUGCCAGGAAUUUUUCCAGAGUGCUGAAAAUUCCCACGCCUUACUGAUGUCCAUCUGCACAGUCAUGUGACCACCAAAAUCUCCUCCACGGUACUAUGGGGAUGUGUAUCUCAACCCAGAGCAGCAACAGCUGUCUGGCAUAUGCAAGGAACUGCACUGACACAGGUGGUCCGUUUUCAAAGUGUAUUACUGACAAACAUGAUGAGGAGAUUCAAGACCCUAAGAUGUACCACAAAUUAUAGCCAUUAUUUCACACAUUUUGCCUUUCCAAAUGGGAGAGGCCUUUCCUGUCUUGUGAUACUGUUGACCCGAA